CAGUCCCCCGAGCGGUUGCCGACUAGGUCUGGCCCAGCAGUCGCUGAUGGCGCCCGGCGGGGGAGGCGGGCCUGGCCGGGUCGCCGCCGGCGGUACCUCAGAGCACGCGAGGAGGAUAAGGGAACGAUGCGCGUCGCGCUGCCGCCCCACUCCUCCAUGAACGGCGCGGUGGGACCUCACCGGCACACCCUUGCCAGCACCCCCGGUUCGCCCGGCCCGGCACCCGCGCUGGGGGCCGCGGGGAAGCCGCGGCCCCUAGACGAUAAAAUGGCCGCAGUAAGGCUGCGCCCGGUAAUGCCUCGGGCUCUCCCUCUCUCCCCUUGAUCAGCUCGGAAGCGGCAGCUUUUGGGAGAUCCCUGUGAACUCUAGUCCUGUCCUUAACCUCGGAAGACUGGAAUACGAUUCCCAAAGAUGUGUAAGAAGACUUUCAUAUCUGUGUAAAAGUCCAAAGUUCUUCUUAGUCUUUUUCUUCUUUUCUACAAGAUGAGGAACGUCAUUCUGAGAUAUUACUUCCCCUGCUAGAAGGAUGUGGAUGUCCACUGCUAUUUUUGAAGAUGUCAUUUACGUUCUUUAAUGGAGGUGUAUCCUAACAGCACCAAUCCACAUGAAACAGAGUAAUUGUCAAAUGGUGGAGUGCGUAUUUAGAAGGCUCAAUGCAACAUGAAGUUUUCAAUGCAAGAUGAAGUUUUCUCGAGAAUUAUAUGGAUAGCCAAACUAUGAUUAGUAAGAUUCCUAUGAAAUAAGAGCUAAGAAAUACUCAUGGAGUCAUGGCCUCAGCCCUGAUAAUCUGUAGAAAACUUUGGAUAAGCAGUAAGAGCCCUGAAAGAGGGGAGGUUAAAGAAAUGGGAGUUGUCUUGUAUAAUACUGUAUAAGGACAUCUCAGCGGGAGGGGAUGUUCUAACUCAUAGUGAUUUGUGAGUUCUGCAGGAUUUGUUAACAAGCUGUCCCAGUUUAUAAAGUGGCCUAUCACAAGCAUGUGUUGUAACUUUGAAGAUUCUCUAAGUCUUUAUGCUCUUUGAUAAAUGACAGUGUUAUGUAUUCUUUCUUUGAUUCAUUCCAGGCAUAUAUAAUCCUUAUCAUUAGCUACAUGUAUAAAAAUUAGAUUAAUCUGGUUGUCAUUGGUGUAGUAUUCCUAAUGGGUACCAUCAGGUUGUAGCCUCUUUCAAGUAGUCACAUGUAGCUGUUAAAACAAGGAGGCCAAGAGGCCUUGAGACAAUGGGGUCAGGGAAUAGCUGCUACCACGCCAAGUCCUGUCAGAAAUCAUUGCAGCCUCUAUAAUAACACACUCAUGUCGCAUAAAAAUGUCUGUAGCAUUGCUAUUAAUUUUGUCAAAAGCUAAGGAGAUGUUAACUGCUCUGAACAUAACCAGGGUAUGAUCGGCCUGUAGAUUUUUACGGGAGUGGGUUAGACUGGUUUUAGUGCUUCACUCCUUUUUCUGUGAAAAAUUCUUGAGAGUCACUUUGGUAGUUAUUUGUCUUUUUUGGCUGCAUGAGGUCUACAGGAGUUUUUAAACAUAUUGUGAACAUAUGUAAGCAUAUUACUCAGACUAGUGCUCAGAAAAAAGGUAGUCUUCCUUUUAAUAUUAUGAAGACAUUAAUCACUAUUUCUUUUUUUCAGAAAACCCUGUAAUUUGUGAUUAAGUUUGCUUGCUUUAAUAUAUCGAAUUAUGUAAAUUUCUCUAAAAGGUACUUAGAUCACAAGCACUGUUUUCUUUAAUUUUAAACAAAACAAAGAUAGAAGCUAUGAAAACUGAUCAGUUUUCUGCCAGUUUGAAGAUGUAUGUACUUUGACUGAGGAUUUAUGGUUGCUAAAACAAUGUGAAAUUUUAGCAGCCUGUUUAAAUUACAGUUACCGUAUGAGGACAUUUGAAAUGGAGCUGACCUAUUAUUAAUGUCUGUGCUGUUUGCUGCCUUGUAGUAUUGAAGCUAAAUGUAUUGAUUUUCAGCAUAGAAAAGUUUUAAAGUGCUGUAUCAGUUUUCAUCAUAAAAAUUCCAGACUCUGUACCACCCACAAGGAUGAAUAGAUUGUAAUCAUUCUAGGGAAAAUUCAGCGAGUGAAAUAGAAUCUUCUUAAGAAUAGAUUGUAUAAUUUCAGGGAAGGAAAACUAAAUCUUAUUCAUUACUCAUAAGUAGUUUUCCAAGAGAAAAAAUUGCCACUGAAAUCAUCAUCAUGACACUUGAAAUAUAUUGGGAAGAAAUUCGGUGUUGUGGAAGGUUUCCUUUAUUACUACUUGAAACUCUGAUCCUUUCAUACAGUGGAAGAUUCAAGGAUGCCUUAGAACAAUAUAUAUGCUAUUUAUAUUAAACUGUAUUAAAGUG
Long non-coding RNA from Melopsittacus undulatus (budgerigar), 2318 nucleotides. RefSeq lists it as uncharacterized. The record is from RefSeq and is a predicted model, not a curated record. Lineage: Eukaryota; Metazoa; Chordata; Aves; Psittaciformes; Psittaculidae. The transcript has 2 exons.